CCUGUCUGCAGUAGUAUGUACACCGCUGUGACGUCACGAACACAACUGUUUAACCACUCCUCACCUCUUCAGGUUCUCUAAACAAUUUACUUUCGGAAAGCUCCACUCGUACAUCGACCAUGCAGCAGAACUCAAAUUCAGGGUCUGCAGUCACGUGUGUUUGUCCAUCAGUGUUCAGCUGUCUGUCUGCUGUCUGGAGGAUGAUGACUUCUGUUUGUUCCUCUGAGGAAAUGGAUCAUCAGUCUCUGGAUGUUCCUCUCUCUGUAGAGGAGACCCGACCAGAACCGGCCCAGAGUUCAGUGCGGCCAUGUUCAUUCACAGGAGGAUGAGUGUGAGCGAUGAUGAUGAAGAGCAGCAGGUUUAAGAGUCGAAAUACAGAACUAUGAACUAGGAAUUCAUGACUUUGUAUUAAAUAGUCUAUGAUUCAAAAUAAAGCACUUAGGGCCUACUAAAAAAGCUGAAAUAUAUUAUUUGU
Molecule: long non-coding RNA, 475 nt
Organism: Megalobrama amblycephala (Wuchang bream)
Lineage: Eukaryota; Metazoa; Chordata; Actinopteri; Cypriniformes; Xenocyprididae
Exons: 3
Source: RefSeq, a predicted model, not a curated record